UACAAUGGAGCUUGGUGGUAUAGCAGCUGCCUUGCAUGCAAAAGGUACCAUGUUCGAUUCAUAGCAUUUGUAG
Molecule: non-coding RNA, 73 nt
Organism: Podarcis lilfordi (Lilford's wall lizard)
Lineage: Eukaryota; Metazoa; Chordata; Lepidosauria; Squamata; Lacertidae
Source: the annotation of a GenBank genome assembly